AAAUUUAUAAAACAAACGAUUACUCAUAGAUGAUAGAUUAUAAUG
Molecule: non-coding RNA, 45 nt
Filed under: Trypanosoma lewisi
Lineage: Eukaryota; Euglenozoa; Kinetoplastea; Trypanosomatida; Trypanosomatidae
Source: RNAcentral